UGCGGCAGAGGCAGGCGGAAUUCGUGGUGUAGCGGUGAAAUGCUUAGAUAUCACGAAGAACUCCGAUUGCGAAGGCAGCUUGCUGGACCGUAACUGACGUUGAGGCUCGAAGGUGCGGGUAUCGAACAGGAUUAGAUACCCUGGUAGUCCGCACGGUAAACGAUGGACACCCGCCGUGGGCGACAUACAGUCCGCGGCCAAGCGAAAGCGUUAAGUGUCCCGCCUGGGGAGUACGCCGGCAACGGUGAAACUCAAAGGAAUUGACGGGGGCCCGCACAAGCGGAGGAACAUGUGGUUUAAUUCGAUGAUACGCGAGGAACCUUACCCGGGCUCGAACCUCCCCCGAAUCCGGCGGAGACGCCGGAGCCAGCAAUGGCGGGGGCGGAGGUGCUGCAUGGUUGUCGUCAGCUCGUGCCGUGAGGUGUCGGCUUAAGUGCCAUAACGAGCGCAACCCCUCCCUCCAGUUGCCAUCGGGUAAUGUCGGGGACUCUGGAGGCACUGCCAUCGCAAGAUGCGAGGAAGGCGGGGAUGACGUCAAAUCAGCACGGCCCUUACGUCCGGGGCUACACACGUGUUACAAUGGGGGGUACAGAGGGCCGCUGCACGGCGACGUUCGGCCAAUCCCUAAAUCCCCUCCCAGUUCGGACCGGAGUCUGGAACCCGACUCCGCGAAGCUGGAUUCGCUAGUAAUCGCGCAUCAGCCAUGGCGCGGUGAAUACGUUCCCGGGCCUUGUACACACCGCCCGUCAAGCCAUG
Molecule: ribosomal RNA, 756 nt
Filed under: uncultured bacterium
Lineage: Bacteria
Description: bacterial SSU rRNA
Rfam family: Bacterial small subunit ribosomal RNA
Source: RNAcentral